CCUACGGGUGGCAGCAGUGGGGAAUAUUGCACAAUGGGGGAAACCCUGAUGCAGCGACGCCGCGUGAAGGACGCAGUCUUUCGGUAUGUAAACUUCUUUCAGCAGGGAGGAAAAUGACGGUACCUGACCCAGAAACCCCGGCUAACUACGUCCCAGCAGCCGCGGUAAUACGGCGGGAGCAAGCGUUAUCCGGAUUUACGGGGUGUAAAGGGGGCGUAGACGGCCAUGCAAGUCUGAUGUGAAAACCCGGGGCCCAACCACGGGACUGCAUUGGAAACUGUGCGGCUGGAGUGUCGGAGAGGCAAGUGGAAUGCCUGGUGUAGCGGUGAAAUGCGUAGAGAUCAGGAGGAAUACCAGUGGCGAAGGCGGCCGGCUGGACGACGACUGACGUUGAGGCGCGAAAGCGUGGGGAGCAAACAGGAUUAGAUACCCGUGUAGUC
Molecule: ribosomal RNA, 440 nt
Filed under: uncultured bacterium
Lineage: Bacteria
Description: partial 16S ribosomal RNA
Rfam family: Bacterial small subunit ribosomal RNA
Source: RNAcentral